GUAACGGCGAGUGAAGCGGCAAAAGCUCAAAUUUGAAAUCUGGUACCUUCGGUGCCCGAGUUGUAAUUUGGAGAGGGCAACUUUGGGGCCGUUCCUUGUCUAUGUUCCUUGGAACAGGACGUCAUAGAGGGUGAGAAUCCCGUGUGGCGAGGAGUGCGGUUCUAUGUAAAGUGCCUUCGAAGAGUCGAGUUGUUUGGGAAUGCAGCUCUAAGUGGGUGGUAAAUUCCAUCUAAAGCUAAAUAUUGGCGAGAGACCGAUAGCGAACAAGUACAGUGAUGGAAAGAUGAAAAGAACUUUGAAAAGAGAGUGAAAAAGUACGUGAAAUUGUUGAAAGGGAAGGGCAUUUGAUCAGACAUGGUGUUUUGUGCCCUCUGCUCCUUGUGGGUAGGGGAAUCUCGCAUUUCACUGGGCCAGCAUCAGUUUUGGUGGCAGGAUAAAUCCGUAGGAAUGUAACUUGCCUCGGGAAGUAUUAUAGCCUGCGGGAAUACUGCCA
This 493-nucleotide ribosomal RNA is filed under the name Saccharomyces paradoxus. Its description in RNAcentral is "LSU rRNA". It matches the Rfam family "Eukaryotic large subunit ribosomal RNA", at positions 83 to 579 of the family's 3401-position model. The record is from RNAcentral. Lineage: Eukaryota; Fungi; Ascomycota; Saccharomycetes; Saccharomycetales; Saccharomycetaceae.